AUUGAACGCUGGCGGCAUGCUUUACACAUGCAAGUCGAACGGUAACAGGCCGCAAGGUGCUGACGAGUGGCGAACGGGUGAGUAAUUCAUCGGAACGUGCCCAGUCGUGGGGGAUAACUACUCGAAAGAGUAGCUAAUACCGCAUACGAUCUAUGGAUGAAAGCGGGGGACCGUAAGGCCUCGCGCGAUUGGAGCGGCCGAUGUCAGAUUAGGUAGUUGGUGGGGUAAAGGCUCACCAAGCCAACGAUCUGUAGCUGGUCUGAGAGGACAACCAGCCACACUGGGACUGAGACACGGCCCAGACUCCUACGGGAGGCAGCAGUGGGGAAUUUUGGACAAUGGGCGCAAGCCUGAUCCAGCAAUGCCGCGUGCAGGAAGAAGGCCUUCGGGUUGUAAACUGCUUUUGUACGGAACGAAACGGCUCUGGUUAAUACCCGGGGCUAAUGACGGUACCGUAAGAAUAAGCACCGGCUAACUACGUG
Molecule: ribosomal RNA, 482 nt
Filed under: uncultured bacterium
Lineage: Bacteria
Description: partial 16S ribosomal RNA
Rfam family: Bacterial small subunit ribosomal RNA
Source: RNAcentral